GAUGAACGCUGGCGGCGUGCCUAAUACAUGCAAGUCGAGCGAACGGACGAGAAGCUUGCUUCUCUGAUGUUAGCGGCGGACGGGUGAGUAACACGUGGAUAACCUACCUAUAAGACUGGGAUAACUUCGGGAAACCGGAGCUAAUACCGGAUAAUAUUUUGAACCGCAUGGUUCAAAAGUGAAAGACGGUCUUGCUGUCACUUAUAGAUGGAUCCGCGCUGCAUUAGCUAGUUGGUAAGGUAACGGCUUACCAAGGCAACGAUGCAUAGCCGACCUGAGAGGGUGGUCGGCCACACUGGAACUGAGACACGGUCCAGACUCCUACGGGAGGCCGCAGUAGGGAAUCUUCCGCAAAGGUCGAAAGUCUUACGGAGCAACGCCGCGUGAGUGAUGAAGGUCUUCGGAUCGUAAAAAUCUGUUAUUAGGGAAGAACAUAUGUGUAAGGAACUGUGCACAUCUUGACGGUACCUAAUCAGAAAGCCACGGCUAACUACGUG
RNAcentral lists this ribosomal RNA (497 nucleotides) under uncultured bacterium. Its description in RNAcentral is "partial 16S ribosomal RNA". It matches the Rfam family "Bacterial small subunit ribosomal RNA", at positions 28 to 507 of the family's 1533-position model. The record is from RNAcentral.